This 464-nucleotide ribosomal RNA is filed under the name uncultured bacterium. Its description in RNAcentral is "partial 16S ribosomal RNA". It matches the Rfam family "Bacterial small subunit ribosomal RNA", at positions 339 to 795 of the family's 1533-position model. The record is from RNAcentral.
CUACGGGUCGCUCCAGUGGGGAAUUUUGGACAAUGGGGGCAACCCUGAUCCAGCCAUGCCGCGUGAGUGAAGAAGGCCUUCGGGUUGUAAAGCUCUUUCAGCCGGGAAGAAAUCGCAUGGGUUAAUACCCUGUGCGGAUGACGGUACCGGAAUAAGAAGCACCGGCUAACUACGUGCCAGCAGCCGCGGUAAUACGUAGGGUGCGAGCGUUAAUCGGAAUUACUGGGCGUAAAGCGUGCGCAGGCGGAUGCUUAAGUCAGAUGUGAAAUCCCCGGGCUUAACCUGGGAAUUGCAUUUGAAACUGGGUAGCUAGAGUGCGUCAGAGGGGGGUGGAAUUCCACGUGUAGCAGUGAAAUGCGUAGAUAUGUGGAGGAACACCAAUGGCGAAGGCAGCCCCCUGGGAUGACACUGACGCUCAUGCACGAAAGCGUGGGGAGCAAACAGGAUUAGAUACCCUGGUAGUC